Molecule: transfer RNA, 75 nt
Filed under: Thermoprotei archaeon
Lineage: Archaea; Thermoproteati; Thermoproteota; Thermoprotei
Also listed under: 1 other name
Description: tRNA-Ile
Rfam family: tRNA
About the family: Transfer RNA (tRNA) molecules are approximately 80 nucleotides in length.
Source: RNAcentral
GGGCCCGUAGCUCAGCCCGGUAAGAGCGCCCGGCUCAUAACCGGGUGGUCGAGGGUUCAAAUCCCUCCGGGCCCA